CCUACGGGAGGCAGCAGUAGGGAAUAUUGCACAAUGGGGGGAACCCUGAUGCAGCGACGCCGCGUGGAGGAUGAAGCGUUUCGGCGUGUAAAGUCCUAUCGUCAGGGAAGAAGAUGACGGUACCUAACCAAUAAGCACCGGCUAACUCCGUGCCAGCAGCCGCGGUAAUACGGAGGGGGCAAGCGUUACCCGGAUUUACUGGGCGUAAAGGGGGCGGAGGCGGGAAAGCAAGCCAGGAGUGAAAGCCUGUGGCCUAACCCCGGGACUGCUUUUGAAACUGGAUGUCUGGAGUAUGGGAGGGGUAGGUGGAAUUCCUGGGGUAGGGGUGAAAUGCGUAGAUAUUAGGAGGAAUACUGAUGGCGAAGGCGGCCUGCUGGAACGUGACUGACGCUGAGGCGCGAAGGCGUGGGGAGCAAACAGGAUUAGAUACCCUAGUAGUC
RNAcentral lists this ribosomal RNA (440 nucleotides) under uncultured bacterium. RNAcentral's name for it is "partial 16S ribosomal RNA". It matches the Rfam family "Bacterial small subunit ribosomal RNA", at positions 338 to 795 of the family's 1533-position model. The record is from RNAcentral.